This 685-nucleotide ribosomal RNA is filed under the name uncultured Staphylococcus sp. Its description in RNAcentral is "bacterial SSU rRNA". It matches the Rfam family "Bacterial small subunit ribosomal RNA", at positions 68 to 737 of the family's 1533-position model. Lineage: Bacteria; Bacillati; Bacillota; Bacilli; Caryophanales; Staphylococcaceae. The record is from RNAcentral.
AACAGACGAGGAGCUUGCUCCUCUGACGUUAGCGGCGGACGGGUGAGUAACACGUGGAUAACCUACCUAUAAGACUGGGAUAACUUCGGGAAACCGGAGCUAAUACCGGAUAAUAUAUUGAACCGCAUGGUUCAAUAGUGAAAGACGGUUUUGCUGUCACUUAUAGAUGGAUCCGCGCCGCAUUAGCUAGUUGGUAAGGUAACGGCUUACCAAGGCAACGAUGCGUAGCCGACCUGAGAGGGUGAUCGGCCACACUGGAACUGAGACACGGUCCAGACUCCUACGGGAGGCAGCAGUAGGGAAUCUUCCGCAAUGGGCGAAAGCCUGACGGAGCAACGCCGCGUGAGUGAUGAAGGUCUUCGGAUCGUAAAACUCUGUUAUUAGGGAAGAACAAAUGUGUAAGUAACUAUGCACGUCUUGACGGUACCUAAUCAGAAAGCCACGGCUAACUACGUGCCAGCAGCCGCGGUAAUACGUAGGUGGCAAGCGUUAUCCGGAAUUAUUGGGCGUAAAGCGCGCGUAGGCGGUUUUUUAAGUCUGAUGUGAAAGCCCACGGCUCAACCGUGGAGGGUCAUUGGAAACUGAAAAACUUGAGUGCAGAAGAGGAAAGUGGAAUUCCAUGUGUAGCGGUGAAAUGCGCAGAGAUAUGGAGGACACCAGUGGCGAAGGCGACUUUCUGGUCUGU